AGAGUUUGAUCCUGGCUCAGAACGAACGCUGGCGGCAGGCUUAACACAUGCAAGUCGAACGCUCGUAGCAAUACGGGAGUGGCAGACGGGUGAGUAACGCGUGGGAACAUACCCUCCGGUUCGGAAUAGCUCAGGGAAACUUGGAUUAAUACCGGAUACGGCUGUGAGGCGAAAGAUUUAUCGCCGGAGGAUUGGCCCGCGUUCGAUUAGCUUGUUGGUGAGGUAACGGCUCACCAAGGCGAUGAUCGAUAGCUGGUCUGAGAGGAUGAUCAGCCACAUUGGGACUGAGACACGGCCCAAACUCCUACGGGAGGCAGCAGUGGGGAAUAUUGGACAAUGGGCGCAAGCCUGAUCCAGCCAUGCCGCGUGAGUGAUGAAGGCCUUAGGGUUGUAAAGCUCUUCGCUCGGACGA
RNAcentral lists this ribosomal RNA (412 nucleotides) under uncultured bacterium. RNAcentral's name for it is "bacterial SSU rRNA". It matches the Rfam family "Bacterial small subunit ribosomal RNA", at positions 8 to 448 of the family's 1533-position model. The record is from RNAcentral.